AUUACGCUGGCGGCAGGCUUAACACAUGCAAGUCGAGCGGGGGAAGGUAGCUUGCUACNGGACCUAGCGGCGGACGGGUGAGUAAUGCUUAGGAAUCUGCCUAUUAGUGGGGGGACAACAUCUCGAAAGGGAUGCUAAUACCGCAUACGUCCUACGGGAGAAAGCAGGGGAUCUUCGGACCUUGCGCUAAUAGAUGAGCCUAAGUCGGAUUAGCUAGUUGGUGGGGUAAAGGCCUACCAAGGCGACGAUCUGUAGCGGGUCUGAGAGGAUGAUCCGCCACACUGGGACUGAGACACGGCCCAGACUCCUCGGGAGGCAGUAGUGGGGAAUAUUGGACAAUGGGGGGAACCCUGAUCCAGCCAUGCCGCGUGCGUGAAGAAGGCCUUAUGGUCGUAAAGUACUCUAAGCGAGGAGGAGGCUACUCUAGUUAAUACCUAGAGAUAGUGGACGUUACUCGCAGAACAAGCACCGGCUAACUCUGUGCCAGCAGCCCGGGU
Molecule: ribosomal RNA, 497 nt
Filed under: Acinetobacter baumannii
Lineage: Bacteria; Pseudomonadati; Pseudomonadota; Gammaproteobacteria; Moraxellales; Moraxellaceae
Description: bacterial SSU rRNA
Rfam family: Bacterial small subunit ribosomal RNA
Source: RNAcentral